RNAcentral lists this ribosomal RNA (249 nucleotides) under uncultured bacterium. Its description in RNAcentral is "partial small subunit ribosomal RNA". It matches the Rfam family "Bacterial small subunit ribosomal RNA", at positions 26 to 278 of the family's 1533-position model. The record is from RNAcentral.
AGGACGAACGCUGGCGGCGUGCUUAACACAUGCAAGUCGAGCGGAAAGGCCCUUCGGGGUACUCGAGCGGCGAACGGGUGAGUAACACGUGAGUAACCUGCCCCUAGCUUCGGGAUAGCUCCGGGAAACCGGAAUUAAUACCGGAUAUGACCACGGCCGACAUCGGCCACGGUGGAAAGAUUCAUCGGCUAGGGAUGGGCUCGCGGCCUAUCAGCUUGUUGGUGGGGUAACAGCCUACCGAAGGCGACG